ACUAUUUAGGCAGAGUAGUGCAAUAAAUUUAGAAUUUAUUUAUGGUUAAACCAAAUAGUA
RNAcentral lists this transfer RNA (60 nucleotides) under Metacrangonyx dhofarensis. Its description in RNAcentral is "tRNA-Leu". The record is from RNAcentral. Lineage: Eukaryota; Metazoa; Arthropoda; Malacostraca; Amphipoda; Metacrangonyctidae.